CUCCCCCCCCCCUCUCUCUCUCUCUCUCUCUCUCUCUCUCUCUCUCUCUCUCUCUCUCUCUCUCUCUCUCUCUCUCUCUCUGCCUCCACUUCCCAUUAACUCCCAUCCUCUGCCCUGAAUAAACUCUAUUCCAUAACAAAAAAAAAAAAGAAAAGAAAAAAGAAAAAAGUUCCAGGGAAAGGGAAGGGAGGUCUAAGGUCAUGUGGGAAAUGGGUAUUGGGCCUUUUAACUUUUUGUUAAAUUAAUUUUAAUUCGGAGGGUGACUAUUAAGGCACCAAUUUUAAAGAUGAGGGACUCUGAGACAUUUAUUUUUUUUAGUGAGGGCUGGUGAGAUUUCUGUGUGUUUUGGGGUGAAGGAGGGGUUAAGGAGGGUGGAGUUCAGGAAUGUCGGGGAAACAAAAAGAUCAUAUUGUUGUUUGGAAUAAGCAAGCCCGUGCAGUUACUGUGGUGGGGAGAAGGGGGGUUAUGUGUGGCCACCAGGUGAGUCAAACCUCCCUGAUUUAGGAGGGUCCUGUGUGUGGUGGGUGGGGGUGGACCAGUGUAUCCUAGAUGAGGUCAGACCUCACCUCUCAGGCUUACAUUUAAGUGCAAUUACUCUUUUUAAUCCAGGGCAUUUGGGGGUCCUACUAAAGUUUUAACGGAGAGAAAUGUUCAGGGUUCUUACUUUUCUCCUUUCCACCUGACAUGAUUACACUCUUUCCACCCUCCAUCCUCUGUACCAUCCCCAACUUACAGCCAGUGCCCCAGAGGACGGCCUCCAGGCCCCUUACCUCAUGCUGGCUUAAUUGAGAAUUGAAAAAGGUUUUCCUCAUACUGAGUUUUGUAAAUGAUAUAAAUUAUAUCUUUUUAUUUAGUUUCUAAGAUGGUGUUGAGCUCCAUGCUGUGCCUUAAGUAGAAGUACCUUCCCUCAUCACAGGUUUCCACAGUCACAGACCAACAGCAGGAAUUACCAUGGCUUUAUAGUGCACUUGGGAGGUGAUCCUGAGCCCAGAGCCGGUUCUCCGAGGUCAGGCUCUGGCUGUUCCUCCUUUCACUCCCAUGCCCAAGGCUCCAGGCACUUUAUUUUUCUUUCAAUAAAGGAGCAUUUGCGUAAUGAUCGUCUGUGAGUUACUCAGACACCUCUGGACUGUGUCCUCUCUUUCCAAGAGGCAGCACCCAGCCACAUAGCCAUAGGCAAGAGGACAAAAUUAGAAGCCAUUUUCUGCUCUGGAAACAUAUAUACCCUGGUUUGUUAAUAUUUUCUUCUUUCCCUCAAUCUCUGUCACUGCAGGCUCAAUGAGUCAUACUGGUCUCUGAACAUUUUGUGGAUACCCAGUCACAAGUUAUUGUGUAUUGCCUCCUGUGCUUCAGCGAGUUAACAAGUACUGCCAUGCUUUCGUGUAGCCUUCCUAUGCCCCUCCUUCCCUUGGCUGCGUGGGCUGGGGGUAGCGGAAGUGAUGGAAGCCGUCUAAGGACUGGGGUGGGAAGGACCUUGGCCUGUUUUUGUGUUUAUAACUGGAUCUGUGAUUCAUCCUGUGAGUCACUCAGCUCCGCCUUCCUCCUCCAGCUACCCCUCCCAGCAGCCCUUGCUCCUGGCACAAACCUGUAACUAGAGCGGGGGUCUGAAAAUGGAAAAAUUUGAUAGAGCUCCUUGCCUGUCAUCCAUCCCCUUUCCAUCCAGUGGACAUCUGCGAUCGUGCUGCAGGUGGUGAGAGUCUUCCUGUUAAGCUGUUGCUCAGCUACACCCGCUCUGUGCUGCUGGUUAGGUGAUGGUGAUCAGAUAGAUCACUUACCUCUCCGUGUUCUGACCAUUUCCUCUAUAUUCUGCUGUUCCCAUACCUCAAGAUAUUAAAGAACAGAAUGUGGCUCUUCGAAGAAAAGUGGGGAGAAAAACUCUGCUCGUGCUGGCUUCACUAUUUCCACAGUUGCAGCCAACAAAGAGAACUUUGGAAGCUGAGGCUGGGAGGAUGUGUGCUGUAGGGAAGGGACUGUUGAAUGUCGCCGCCCCCACCUAGGGAUUGCUGCCUCUGUACCGACUCAAAGACAAUAAAACAGCAGCUCAUUAACACCUA
Molecule: long non-coding RNA, 2051 nt
Organism: Apodemus sylvaticus (European woodmouse)
Lineage: Eukaryota; Metazoa; Chordata; Mammalia; Rodentia; Muridae
Exons: 2
Source: RefSeq, a predicted model, not a curated record